Molecule: long non-coding RNA, 334 nt
Filed under: Homo sapiens (human)
Lineage: Eukaryota; Metazoa; Chordata; Mammalia; Primates; Hominidae
Description: HSALNT0167892
Source: RNAcentral
GCUGGACCAGCAAUUUAGAUCAUUGAACCUGGCAUGAGUGCUACAAAUUCAACAAAGCCAAUAUGUGAUGUUGAGCUACUGGGAACAUUAGAUAGGCUUAGAAACUAAACAUAUAAGGUCCUGCCCCAUCUCCUGGAAGAAGGAAUGCUACACAGAGAGGCUAAGAAGACUCUGGACAGUGCAGAAUCUGGAGCUAGAGAAAAAUUUAAAAAGCCACAAGGAUGUGAAUUGCUGAGCCUGAGAUAGAAGAGCUGCUGUUCCUGCUGAAGAGCAAUGACACCUAUCGAUAAUAUAAGGAGACAGAGACCGCAGUUGUUGAGUUCCUGAAAAUACA